This is a long non-coding RNA of Trifolium pratense (red clover), 697 nucleotides long. RefSeq lists it as uncharacterized. The record is from RefSeq and is a predicted model, not a curated record. The transcript is spliced from 2 exons. Lineage: Eukaryota; Viridiplantae; Streptophyta; Magnoliopsida; Fabales; Fabaceae.
GCCUGCAAUAAACUCAGGAAAAUUAUUUUCGUAGAAUAAUUGAUGAUAAUGAAAAUGUGGAAUAAAUCAAAUCAACAUCGUAGUCGACAUUCAUCAUCUUUAAUCAUAAGAUACUUUCAAUUUAUGCAUAAAUAUGUUGGUGCCUUAUUGGUUCAUUUUGCCUAGGACUAACAUUCUCAUCAAUCAAUACUAUUAUAUUGUUGUUGUACAGAUUUUCCUUCGUAUAUCAUCAAAGGUUAUAUAAGAACUAAAAUAUAAUGAAGGUUAAUAAAAAUAUUGAGUGUUCCAAAGGACAAAUAAGUCCCAUGCUUGUAUGUAAAAGACAUUAAAUAACGACAUUAUUUUUUUAAUGGUUUUCUUGCAUCUCCAUAAGUGCUAAAAAAUUUCAUUAUAAACAAAUACAAAAGUUUAAUGUUAGUUACAUGAACAAUAGAAAAAUUAUGACUGAGAUUCUCAAGUUUAUUUAUGUUAUGAUAGUCUGUAUUUUUCUAUUUUUUGUUGCAAGUGGCAUAAGCACCGGAAGAACUUGGCCUUGUGAUGUUGACAAACAUUGUCUUCCUUAUUUUUGUCUUCCUUACAAAGCAAUUUGUACUAAUCGUCAAUGUAUUUGCUACAAAGUUGAAAAUUAAUUAUGUUACUUUCAUAUAUAAUUUUAUAUGUAUACAUUCUAAUAUUGUCACUCUAAUGAUUACUUCAA